GGCCAACCCACCCCCCUACUCCUCCACUCGUCAACGCACCUCCAGCUAGCCUCCCCUGCUGUCGUUGCCCCUCUAGCUGGCUAGAAAAACGCCCAAAAGUCCCUCCCUUUUCUCACGCGCCGAUUCAACUUCCUUGGUCGAUUUCUGCCAAUCCAGCCACCAAUCGGACCUGGUUCAGUUCCCUUCGUGUUCUACUCUUUGAGAGCUUUCCAUAGACACCUAUUUUAUCAAUUUUCAUUGAGUGGUUUAUGCGAAUUAAGCCCAGAAAAUUUUAGCCCAUUUCGACUUUU
RNAcentral lists this unclassified non-coding RNA (290 nucleotides) under Hevea brasiliensis (rubber tree). The record is from RNAcentral. Lineage: Eukaryota; Viridiplantae; Streptophyta; Magnoliopsida; Malpighiales; Euphorbiaceae.